UAGUAACGGCGAGUGAAGAGGGAAUAGCUUCAAUUUUGAAUCUGGUGUCUUUGGCGCCCGAGUUGUAAUCUAGAGAAGUGUUUUCUGCCUCGGACCACACAUAAAUUCCCUGGAAUGGGGUGUCAUAGAGGGUGAGAAUCCCGUUUGUGGUGUGGACUACCUUGGCUCUGUGAUACACUCUCAACGAGUCGAGUUGUUUGGGAAUGCAGCUCAAAAUGGGUGGUAAAUUCCAUCUAAAGCUAAAUAUUGGCGAGAGACCGAUAGCGAACAAGUACCGUGAGGGAAAGAUGAAAAGCACUUUGGAAAGAGAGUGAAACAGUACGUGAAAUUGUUGAAAGGGAAGCGUUUGAAGUCAGUCACAUCGGUCGGAAUUCAGCCUGGCUUUGCCUGGUGUACUUUUUGGCAGAUGGGUCAGCGUCAAUUUUGACUGAGGGAAAAAGACUUGAGGAAUGUGGCUGUCUUCGGGCAGUGUUAUAGCCUCUUGUUGUAUGUCUCAGUUGGGAUUGAGGACCGCAGCACGCCUUAUGGCCGGGGUUCGCGCCCUCGGAACGUGCUUAGGA
RNAcentral lists this ribosomal RNA (560 nucleotides) under uncultured Sebacinales. Its description in RNAcentral is "eukaryotic LSU rRNA". It matches the Rfam family "Eukaryotic large subunit ribosomal RNA", at positions 81 to 618 of the family's 3401-position model. Lineage: Eukaryota; Fungi; Basidiomycota; Agaricomycetes; Sebacinales. The record is from RNAcentral.